Nycticebus coucang (slow loris) is the source of this 102-nucleotide small nuclear RNA. The record is from RefSeq and is a predicted model, not a curated record. NCBI's taxonomy places the organism in Eukaryota, Metazoa, Chordata, Mammalia, Primates, Lorisidae.
GCUCAUUUCGGCAGUGCAUAUACUAAAAUAGGAACGAUACAGAGAUUAGCAUGGUCCCUGUGCAAGGAUGACAUGCAAAUUUGUCAAGCGUUCCAUAUUUAA